This 373-nucleotide ribosomal RNA is filed under the name uncultured organism. Its description in RNAcentral is "bacterial SSU rRNA". It matches the Rfam family "Bacterial small subunit ribosomal RNA", at positions 526 to 896 of the family's 1533-position model. The record is from RNAcentral.
CGAAGGGUGCAAGCGUUACUCGGAAUUACUGGGCGUAAAGCGUGCGUAGGUGGUUCGUUAAGUCUGAUGUGAAAGCCCUGGGCUCAACCUGGGAAUGGCAUUGGAUACUGGCGACCUAGAGUGCGGUAGAGGGGUGUGGAAUUCCCGGUGUAGCAGUGAAAUGCGUAGAUAUCGGGAGGAACAUCUGUGGCGAAGGCGACACCCUGGACCAGCACUGACACUGAGGCACGAAAGCGUGGGGAGCAAACAGGAUUAGAUACCCUGGUAGUCCACGCCCUAAACGAUGCGAACUGGAAGUUGGGGGCAACUUGGCCCUCAGUUUCGAAGCUAACGCGUUAAGUUCGCCGCCUGGGAAGUACGGUACGCAAGACUG